Molecule: long non-coding RNA, 765 nt
Organism: Salvia miltiorrhiza (redroot sage)
Lineage: Eukaryota; Viridiplantae; Streptophyta; Magnoliopsida; Lamiales; Lamiaceae
Exons: 2
Source: RefSeq, a predicted model, not a curated record
GAAAUGUUAAAUGAAGUUUCAUCUAUUUUUCUUUUUAAGUUUCGAUUUAGACUAUUUCUUUCAUAUUAUUGCUUCUCACUCAAUUAUUGUAAUAUGCAUGUCAAUAAUUUCUUCUAUUCAGUUUUAAUUCUUAUUGCUUUCAAUCAGAUUUGGACUUGAUUUGUUUAGUGAUAAUAAAAAAAAAUUGAUUUUUUUUAGAAAUCAAUUCCGAUCUGAUGCAGUAAUUUCACCAAUCCAAAAAUCCAAGAACUUUCGAAAAAGAAGAAUUUUGCCAUACCAAAAAGGCAAAAACAUCCGAAAAAGAAGAUGAGUUGCAUUUGCAGAUGAAGAAGAAGAUGGUUAAAUCUCCAAAGAAGAAGUGAUGCUUAAGAAGAAGCGGAGAGGCAGAAGCAAUGUCGGUAAAUAAUAAGUUCACCUGAUUUCCUCAUCCUAAGAUUCAUCAAACGCAUUCUCCGUCACAAAUCAUGGUUGAUCUUCCAAUCAAACCAUAUGAAAUUUAUCAACAAUCAUCCUUGGUUCGUCACGUACCGUCAAGAAUGAAGCAUUCGUACGUUGAUAGAAAAUCGAAUAAAUCAAUGGUCAUUUCCGAUGAGAAUUGCGCAAGUUUUGUAACCUUAGAAAUUGAUAUGUGAAUCGUAUAAAUUAUUAAAUUAUUGAAGUGGAUGUAUUUUGGUGCUUGAAAAGACAUAAAAAUGAGCCACAUGUCAUGUGUGUAUCUUUCAUGCACGCGAAAUCGUGAGUUUGUAUUGGAGUUAUUUUUGUUAA